RNAcentral lists this transfer RNA (73 nucleotides) under Treponema sp. Its description in RNAcentral is "tRNA-Thr". It matches the Rfam family "tRNA". From Rfam's summary of the family: Transfer RNA (tRNA) molecules are approximately 80 nucleotides in length. Their secondary structure includes four short double-helical elements and three loops (D, anti-codon, and T loops). The record is from RNAcentral. Lineage: Bacteria; Pseudomonadati; Spirochaetota; Spirochaetia; Treponematales; Treponemataceae.
GCCGUCUUAGCUCAGCUGGCAGAGCACUUGACUUGUAAUCAUGAGGUCUUCGGUUCAAUUCCGAAAGACGGCU